RNAcentral lists this long non-coding RNA (289 nucleotides) under Elaeis guineensis (African oil palm). Its description in RNAcentral is "long non-coding RNA (EGUI_LNC048064)". Lineage: Eukaryota; Viridiplantae; Streptophyta; Magnoliopsida; Arecales; Arecaceae. The record is from RNAcentral.
UCAUCUAACUUAAUAGGAGGCUAUGAUUUAGUUAUCACUAUCAUUAUUUCAUUUUAAAGACCUAAUAAUUUAGAGAAUUUAGUUCACAUAUUUUAAGAGAAAGAAGAGAAAUUGAUCUGUAAGUCGUAAAUUCUCCGACUGACUUCACCAAGUCAGAUCAAAGAAGAUUAGAGACAAGCCGAUCCAGGGGCACCUAAAUCAGUCAUAUUGAUUUACCUAUGCAGCAUGGGUUAGCUUGAAUCAAUGAGCAACUUAAUCAAAAGCUGAUUGAGCACAUUAGCCAGGUAAG